Bos taurus (domestic cattle) is the source of this 1487-nucleotide long non-coding RNA. The record is from Ensembl. NCBI's taxonomy places the organism in Eukaryota, Metazoa, Chordata, Mammalia, Artiodactyla, Bovidae.
GUUCCCUUCUCCCUUCCUGUAGUGGGCUGUGUUCUCACCCUACCUCAGAGCUACACCUGUCAGCAGCGAGGCCCAGGGCAGCUCUGUCACUGAGGGAGUGGCCUUGACACCCCCCAAGCCCCGUCAGUUUCCUUCCCUCAGAUGAGCCCGACAUCCAGGACAAUCCUCCAGAGGCAGAAGGCUACACCUCUCAGGGUGCGUUUUACAGGAAAGUAAAAUCUCCUUCAUUGUUGACCUCAUCAUGCCAAUACUUAACUGAAGAGGGCAGCGUCAGGGCCUGUCUGGAACCCCUGCCUGCCCCGCCCACCCCCAUUAAAUCAUUCUUUGUCCCAACUCUUCCCUCAGCACCCUUUCCUCCCUCUCCCCACCCUGCUGGCUGCCUGAGUCAUUUAUAACCCAGGGCCCUGGUUUUUGUGGGUGAUGCUGUAAUAUCCUGCCUUAUCCCUGCCAGAGUCCGCUUGCUCCCUUGCCAGGUAGGGCUCCCUGUAUUUCAACAGGAACCUUCAGGAGAUUGGCCUUAAGCCACAGGAGGGUUGCCCAAAGUGAGGAGACUAAGAGGUGAAGAGACCUGUCCAAGUCCUAUCCCAUCACAGAGCCUCUUGAAAGUGAAAGAGAGUGAAAAAGUUGGCUUAAAACUCAACAUUCAGAAAACUAAGAUCAUGGCAUCUAGUCACGUCACUUCAUAGCAAAUAGAUGAGGGAAAAAAGGAAACAGUGACAGACUUUAUUUACUUUGACUCCAAAAUCACUGUAGAUGGUGACUGCAACCAUGAAAUUAAAAGACGCUUGUUCCUUGGAAGAAAAAUUAUGACCAGCAUAGACAGCAUAUUAAAAAGCAGAGACAUUACUUUGCCAACAAAGGUCCAUCAAGUCAGAGCUGUGGUUUUUCCAGUAGUCAUGUAUGGAUGUGAGAGUUGGACCAUAAAGAAAGCUGAGCGCCAAAGAACUGAUGCUUUUAAACUGUGUUGUUGGAGAAGACUCUUGAGAGUCCCUUGGACUGCAAGGAGAUCCAACCAGUCCAUCCUAAAGGAAAUCAGUCCUAAAUAUUCAUUGCAAGGACUGAUGCUGAAGCUGAAGCUCCAGUACUCUGGCCACCAGAUGCAAAGAACUGAGUAAUUGGAAAAGACCCUGAUACUGGGAAAGAUUGAAGGCAGGAGGAAAAGGGGACGACAGAGGAUGAGAUGGCUGGAUAGCAUCACCGACUCAAUGGACAUGAGUUUGAGCAAGUUUCAGGAGUUGGUGAUGGACAGGGAAACCUGGUGUGCUGCAGUCCAUGGGGUAGCAAAGAGUCGGACACGACUGAGCGACUGAACUGAACUGAUAGUUUGAAGAACAGGUGGAGAUUUUCCAAGUGGACAAGAGGGUAUGGGGUAUUCCAGGCAGAGGGCUCAGCUUGUGCAAAGAUCAAGUGGCACGGACCAGCCUUGGAGUGUCCAUGGAAUCCUGCUGGGGGUGAGGCACUGAGAUAGAGGUUGUUAUAGAGAAGCA